Molecule: ribosomal RNA, 119 nt
Filed under: Macleaya cordata
Lineage: Eukaryota; Viridiplantae; Streptophyta; Magnoliopsida; Ranunculales; Papaveraceae
Source: RNAcentral
GGGUGCGAUCAUACCAGAACUAAUGCACCGGAUCCCAUCAGAACUCCGCAGUCAAGCGUGCUUGGGCAAGAGUAGUACUUGGUUGGGUGACCUCUUGGGAAGUCCUCGUGUUGCACCCC